RNAcentral lists this ribosomal RNA (253 nucleotides) under Planctomycetaceae bacterium. Its description in RNAcentral is "partial 16S ribosomal RNA". It matches the Rfam family "Bacterial small subunit ribosomal RNA", at positions 524 to 776 of the family's 1533-position model. The record is from RNAcentral. RNAcentral also lists the same sequence under 1 other name. Lineage: Bacteria; Pseudomonadati; Planctomycetota; Planctomycetia; Planctomycetales; Planctomycetaceae.
UACGAACUGUGCAAACGUUAUUCGGAAUCACUGGGCUUAAAGGGUGCGUAGGCGGCUUGUUAAGUAGGGUGUGAAAUCCCCCGGCUCAACCGGGGAAUUGCGCCCUAAACUGGCGAGCUGGAGUGAGAUAGGGGUGUGUGGAACUUCCAGUGGAGCGGUGAAAUGUGUUGAUAUUGGAAGGAACGCCAGUGGCGAAAGCGACACACUGGGUCUCAACUGACGCUGAGGCACGAAAGCCAGGGGAGCAAACGGG